Molecule: ribosomal RNA, 460 nt
Filed under: uncultured bacterium
Lineage: Bacteria
Description: partial 16S ribosomal RNA
Rfam family: Bacterial small subunit ribosomal RNA
Source: RNAcentral
CCUACGGGUGGCAGCAGUGAGGAAUAUUGGUCAAUGGACGAGAGUCUGAACCAGCCAAGUAGCGUGAAGGAUGACUGCCCUAUGGGUUGUAAACUUCUUUUAUAUGGGAAUAAAAUGUUCCACGUGUGGGAUUUUGUAUGUACCAUAUGAAUAAGGAUCGGCUAACUCCGUGCCAGCAGCCGCGGUACUAAGGAGGAUCCGAGCGUUAUCCGGAUUUAUUGGGUUUAAAGGGAGCGUAGGUGGAUUGUUAAGUCAGUUGUGAAAGUUUGCGGCUCAACCGUAAAAUUGCAGUUGAAACUGGCAGUCUUGAGUACAGUAGAGGUGGGCGGAAUGCGUGGUGUAGCGGUGAAAUGCUUAGAUAUCACGAAGAACUCCGAUUGCGAAGGCAGUUCACUGGACUGCAACUGACACUGAGGCUCGAAAGUGUGGGUAUCAAACAGGAUUAGAUACCCUGGUAGUC